ACGGGUGAGUAACGCGUGAACAAUCUGUCCCAGACAGGGGGAUAACACUUGGAAACAGGUGCUAAUACCGCAUGAGACCACGGUAUCGCAUGGUACUGGGGUAAAAAGGAGCGAUCCGGUUUGGGGUGAGUUCGCGUCCGAUUAGCCAGUUGCGGGUAACGGCCCACCAAAGCGACGAUCGGUAGCCGAUCUGAGAGGAUGACCGGCCACAUUGGAACUGAGAGACGGUCCAAACUCCUACGGGAGGCAGCAGUGGGGAAGUAUUGGGCAAUGGGCGAAAGCCCUGACCCAGCAACGCCGCGUGAGUGAAGAAGGCCUUCGGGUUGUUAAAGCUCUGUUAUAGGGGACGAAGGGAGUGACGGUACCCUAUAAGGAAGCCCCGGCUAACUACGUGCCAGCCGCAGC
RNAcentral lists this ribosomal RNA (405 nucleotides) under uncultured bacterium. RNAcentral describes it as "bacterial SSU rRNA". It matches the Rfam family "Bacterial small subunit ribosomal RNA", at positions 102 to 518 of the family's 1533-position model. The record is from RNAcentral.